GCCUGGCUGGCUCAGUUGGAAGAGCGUGUGACUCUUGAUGUCAGGGUUGUGAGUUCAAGUCCCACACUGGGUG
This 73-nucleotide transfer RNA is filed under the name Ailuropoda melanoleuca (giant panda). It matches the Rfam family "tRNA". Rfam says of the family: Transfer RNA (tRNA) molecules are approximately 80 nucleotides in length. Their secondary structure includes four short double-helical elements and three loops (D, anti-codon, and T loops). Further hydrogen bonds mediate the characteristic L-shaped molecular structure. tRNAs have two regions of fundamental functional importance: the anti-codon, which is responsible for specific mRNA codon recognition, and the 3' end, to which the tRNAs corresponding amino acid is attached (by aminoacyl-tRNA synthetases). tRNAs cope with the degeneracy of the genetic code in two manners: having more than one tRNA (with a specific anti-codon) for a particular amino acid; and 'wobble' base-pairing, i.e. permitting non-standard base-pairing at the 3rd anti-codon position. The record is from Rfam by way of RNAcentral. Lineage: Eukaryota; Metazoa; Chordata; Mammalia; Carnivora; Ursidae.